GGGCGAUCUGGCUGUGACAUCUGUCACCCAUUGAUCACCAGGGUUGAGUCCAUUGAUCUGGCUGGCUAGGCAGGUGUGCACCACUCCAUAUGCAUCCCUCCUGAAGCUGUGCACUUGGUCGAAGAGGACAACCUGGCCCUGUAGAGAAGCACUCUUCUUCAGUCAAGGGUUUAUAAGUAGCUGCACAAUCCUGCUAGAACCUCCAAACAAGCUCUCAAGGAAACUGAAGAUGAGACCAUGGUUCUCCAUUUUAUCAAGGAUAAAACUU
Molecule: small nuclear RNA, 268 nt
Filed under: Felis catus (domestic cat)
Lineage: Eukaryota; Metazoa; Chordata; Mammalia; Carnivora; Felidae
Description: 7SK RNA
Rfam family: 7SK RNA
About the family: 7SK was discovered as an abundant small nuclear RNA in the mid-70s but a possible function has only recently been suggested. Two independent studies have found that 7SK RNA binds the CDK9/cyclin T complex (known as elongation factor P-TEFb). P-TEFb activates transcription by phosphorylating the C-terminal domain of RNA polymerase II.
Source: Rfam by way of RNAcentral